GAUGAACGCUGGCGGCGUGCUUAACACAUGCAAGUCGAACGGAAAGGCUCCUGCUUGCAGGGGUACUCGAGUGGCGAACGGGUGAGUAACACGUGGGUGAUCUGCCCUGCACUUCGGGAUAAGCCUGGGAAACUGGGUCUAAUACCGGAUAGGACGAUGGUUUGGAUGCCAUUGUGGAAAGUUUUUUCGGUGUGGGAUGAGCUCGCGGCCUAUCAGCUUGUUGGUGGGGUAAUGGCCUACCAAGGCGUCGACGGGUAGCCGGCCUGGGAGGGUGUACGGCCACAUUGGGACUGAGAGACGGCCCAGACUCCUACGGGAGGCAGCAGGGGGGAAUAUUGCACAAUGGGCGCAAGCCUGAUGCAGCGACGCCGCGUGGGGGAUGACGGCCUUCGGGUUGUAAACUCCUUUCGCUAGGGACGAAGCGCAAGUGACGGUACCUGGAGAAGAAGCACCGGCUAACUACGU
This 465-nucleotide ribosomal RNA is filed under the name uncultured bacterium. RNAcentral describes it as "partial 16S ribosomal RNA". It matches the Rfam family "Bacterial small subunit ribosomal RNA", at positions 28 to 506 of the family's 1533-position model. The record is from RNAcentral.